Molecule: ribosomal RNA, 939 nt
Filed under: Thriocerodes sp. cf. photo 29 NLG-2013
Lineage: Eukaryota; Metazoa; Arthropoda; Insecta; Coleoptera; Cleridae
Description: partial 16S ribosomal RNA
Source: RNAcentral
GAAUAUAAGUUAUUAUUAUUAAUUUUAAUUUUUAUAUUUUUAAAGAAAAAAAUUAAAUUUUUAUUAUUAUUGUAGAAAAAAUUUUUAUAAUUAUAGUUUAUUAGUAUUGUGAAAGAAAUAAUUAAUAUAUGUAUAAGAAAAAUUUAAAUUUUGUACCUUGGGUAUCAGGGUUAAUUUAAUAACAUUUUUAAAUAAAAAUUUCUCGAAUUUAAAAGAGUUAGUUAUUUAUAAAUUUAAUUGUAAAAUAAAUUUUUAAAAUAAAUAACUUGUAAUGAAACGUUAUUCGUUUUUAAAUAUAUCUAGUUUUUAAAGAAAAAAAUUUAAUUUUAUUAUUAAUAUUUAAAAAUUUAAUUUUUUAAUUUUUUAUUUAUUAAUAUUAAAUUUUAUUAGGGAUAAGCUUAAUAAGAAAGUAUUAUAAUUAACUUAAAUAAUAAAUAAUUUAUAAAAUUAGAAUUUUUUAUAAAUAAGAGAAUGUUAUAAUUUAUUAUAUUGAUUUUUUAUUUUUAUGUAAUUUAAUUUUUAUAUUUAAAUAUAAAUUUUAAUUUUAAAAAUUUAGUAGUUAUGAUUAAAUUAGUAUAGAUUUAUUGUAUUAUAUUAUGAUAUUAAUAUAGGUUAAUUUAAGGAACUCGGCAAAUUAUUUUUCACCUGUUUAUUAAAAACAUGUCUUUUUGAUUAUAAUUUAAAGUCUAAUCUGCCCACUGAUUGAUUAAAUGGCCGCGGUAUUUUGACCGUGCAAAGGUAGCAUAAUAAUUAGUUUUUUAAUUGAAAGCUGGAAUGAAUGAUUGAAUGAGAAAAUAACUGUCUCAAAUUAAUUUUUAGAAUUUUAUAUUUAAGUUAAAAAGCUUAAAUUUUAUUAAAAGACGAGAAGACCCUAUAGAGUUUAAUAAAUUAUUAUAUUUAAAUUUUUAGUUUUAAAUAUUUAAAUUUUUAUUGUUUAUU